AGUAAUGUAUGGGGAUCUGCCUGAUGGCGGGGGAUAACUACUGGAAACGGUAGCUAAUACCGCAUAAUGCCUGCGGACCAAAGCGGGGGACCUCCGGGCCUCGCGCCAUCAGAUGAACCCAUAUGGGAUUAGCUUGUAGGUAAGGUAACGGCUUACCUAGGCGACGAUCCCUAGCUGGUCUGAGAGGAUGAUCAGCCACACUGGGACUGAGACACGGCCCAG
This 222-nucleotide ribosomal RNA is filed under the name uncultured bacterium. Its description in RNAcentral is "partial 16S ribosomal RNA". It matches the Rfam family "Bacterial small subunit ribosomal RNA", at positions 109 to 334 of the family's 1533-position model. The record is from RNAcentral.